CCAACUGUUGGCUGACUGGAAGUUGUGACAUGUUCCAGUUCCCUGCUUUGUGAGCUGCCACCCAUAAUAGGGUGGGCUUUGGUGAUGCAGCUGUCUUCGAGUCACUUCUGUUCCUGUAAAUAACCAUCACCCAUAUUCCUGUAAGUUACCCCAGUAAAACUCAUUGGUUCACCAAGUAGAACUUUGAUGUCACCUCUAUUUUGGUCUGUUGUGGGUCCCCUAUCUGGGUUGAGUAAACAUGUGUGAUGUGUCUCCCUAGGAAAAAUUUUGUCACACAACAGAGUGAAAGUUUCCUGACUUCCAUGAUUCUGUUAGCAACUAUCUAAAAAUCUAGAGUAGCUAAGAAUUGUUGCUAUAAGAGAAAAAGGGAAAAAAAAAAACCCAAGCAAAUAAAAAUAUGAAGAAACAUACUUCAAAAGAAUAAAUUGCUGGUGUGGGAGCAGAGGAGGCAGAGAAAAUUAUUUGGGAACACAUUUUAAAAAUCAAAUGUAUUCAUGUCAUCAGAACAGGGAGAAUACAGAAAUCAGAGUUUAUACGGUUCAUUACACUUUGAUCAUAAUGUUUAUAUCUAUCCUAUUUUUUGCUAUAUGGUCAUGUGACUGCCAGCGGCAAAACUAGAGUCUAAAUGUAUGUUCUCUGCCUGCAAAUUGCACUCUUUUUCUUACUCCAUACUGCCUUGCAUUCAGGUUGUUUGUGUACUUCCUAUAUGCUUACACAGUGAUGCUCUACCUCCAGUGCCUAGUAGCUAAGUGACCACAGGCAAAUUAGCUCGAUUUCUUUAAGUUCAUAUUAUUCACCCAUGCAGAAGAAAUCAUGACACUCUAUCUUUUGUCACUGAGAUGUUGAAAGGUUUAAAAGGCAAUGUUCUAUAAUAGCAUACAUAUACAUAUAAGCCAUUGUUACUAAAACUUAUAAAAGGAAAGGUUGACGAGAUCGAAUAGUCAACAGAUAUUAUCUUUGAGGACUAGUUGGAACCUCAUUUGGAAAUAAUUGCUCUCUUAGACG
This 1005-nucleotide long non-coding RNA is filed under the name Mus musculus (house mouse). Its description in RNAcentral is "long non-coding RNA chr9:83008741-83009746". Lineage: Eukaryota; Metazoa; Chordata; Mammalia; Rodentia; Muridae. The record is from RNAcentral.